AAAGAAAAAAACCUGACUUGAGGUAAGAGUGCUGUCUCAUGGGACCUUCCAGGCUUAGCAGGGGGCUAUUGUACACCAAAUGAAUCCCAGGGGAUGAGGAUGAACUUUAGGUAGGUGUUAACCUGUUGCCCCUAAGUUUUCUCUUCUCUACGUGAAAGUACCUCAGUUCCUUUGCCUGAUCCUAGCACACUAGUGUAAGAUUAAAAUGAAUAUCCAAUAACUCCAAGUAUUAUAUUUUAUAAGAUGUAUUAAUACUACUUGAAGUAGAGGAAAAGUAUAGCCUGAGUAAAGACAAGUUCACCGGACCGCAAAAGCAGGAGAAGAGAGCUUGAAAGGAGGCACGUGGUUACAGAAACCUUCUCUCCAAAACCUAAGGAUGUAAGAUUAAUAUUCUCAUGAUAAAUGAAACCAGAAGGCCAAAGGCAAUUUGCAGCAGAAUGGAAGGAUGACUCAUAGUUCCUCCUUGGAGAAGCAAACAAAGGAUUUACUGGAGCUGAUUUCAUCAUGUACCCAAAGGCAACAAGAAGCAUCAUUUCAUGGGGUGCUUGGUUAUCUUGUCUUUGUUUAAGAUAAACAUAACCAAAAAGACUACCAUGAAGAUAAUUACAGUUUAUGUGUCAACCUCCAUUACAGAGGAUAAAAUAGAGUUAUCAGAACCCAAUGGCAAGACAGAAGUUGGGAUGACUGCUGAUGGCAUGGGAUACAGUGGAUGACCUUGGCAUUUUUGAUGGUUGACCAGACUCUAAGUGUUCCACUGUGCCUGCUACAUCCACCUUCAUGGCUAUUGGAAUAAAUUGUUUUCAUAAUCCA
This 810-nucleotide long non-coding RNA is filed under the name Monodelphis domestica (gray short-tailed opossum). RNAcentral's name for it is "lncRNA (ENSMODG00000045905.1)". The record is from RNAcentral. Lineage: Eukaryota; Metazoa; Chordata; Mammalia; Didelphimorphia; Didelphidae.